AAUAGAUACCCCGGUAGUCCACGCCGUAAACGAUGGAUACUAGCUGUUGGGCGCAAGUUCAGUGGCUAAGCGAAAGUGAUAAGUAUCCCACCUGGGGAGUACGUUCGCAAGAAUGAAACUCAAAGGAAUUGACGGGGGCCCGCACAAGCGGUGGAGCAUGUGGUUUAAUUCGAUGAUACGCGAGGAACCUUACCAAGGCUUAAAUGUAGAUUGACCGGUUUGGAAACAGAUCUUUCGCAAGACAAUUUACAAGGUGCUGCAUGGUUGUCGUCAGCUCGUGCCGUGAGGUGUCAGGUUAAGUCCUAUAACGAGCGCAACCCCUGUUGUUAGUUGCCAGCGAGUCAAGUCGGGAACUCUAACAAGACUGCCAGUGCAAACUGUGAGGAAGGUGGGGAUGACGUCAAAUCAUCACGGCCCUUACGCCUUGGGCUACACACGUGCUACAAUGGCCGGUACAGAGAGCAGCCACUGGGUGACCAGGAGCGAAUCUAUAAAACCGGUCACAGUUCGGAUCGGAGUCUGCAACUCGACUCC
Molecule: ribosomal RNA, 534 nt
Filed under: uncultured bacterium
Lineage: Bacteria
Description: bacterial SSU rRNA
Rfam family: Bacterial small subunit ribosomal RNA
Source: RNAcentral